RNA transcript from Bactrocera latifrons, 1364 nucleotides. It is a transcript of the gene named transcription factor collier, with no coding region annotated. The record is from RefSeq and is a predicted model, not a curated record. The transcript is spliced from 9 exons. Lineage: Eukaryota; Metazoa; Arthropoda; Insecta; Diptera; Tephritidae.
UUAUUUACGAAGGGCAAGAUAAAAAUCCGGAAAUGUGUCGUGUACUGUUAACACACGAGGUUAUGUGCAGUCGCUGUUGUGAUAAAAAAAGUUGUGGCAACCGCAAUGAGACACCAUCAGAUCCUGUCAUUAUUGAUCGAUUUUUCCUGAAAUUCUUUUUGAAAUGCAACCAGAACUGUUUAAAAAAUGCCGGCAAUCCCAGAGACAUGAGACGCUUUCAGGUUGUCAUCUCCACACAAGUGACCGUUGAUGGUCCACUACUGGCUAUAUCCGAUAAUAUGUUCGUACAYAACAAUUCGAAGCAUGGACGCCGCGCCAAACGUUUGGACACCACGGAAGGUACAGGAAACUCCUCCCUGUCCUUAACGGGUCACCCACUUGCGCCUGACAGUACCUAUGAUGGUCUUUAUCCACCAUUGCCCGUGGCCACGCCUUGCAUCAAAGCGAUUUCGCCCAGCGAGGGUUGGACCUCUGGCGGCGCAACCGUUAUUAUUGUGGGUGAUAAUUUYUUUGAUGGCCUCCAAGUGGUCUUCGGCACAAUGCUCGUUUGGAGCGAAUUGAUUACAUCGCAUGCCAUUCGUGUGCAAACACCACCACGUCACAUACCCGGUGUGGUGGAGGUGACUUUAUCGUAUAAGAGCAAACAGUUUUGCAAGGGUUCGCCGGGCCGAUUUGUCUAUGUUUCGCUCAAUGAGCCGACCAUCGAUUACGGUUUUCAGCGUCURCAAAAGCUUAUACCACGUCAUCCUGGCGAUCCAGAGAAAUUACAAAAGGAAAUCAUACUCAAACGCGCAGCCGAUUUGGUCGAGGCCUUGUACUCCAUGCCAAGAUCUCCCGGCGGUUCGACCGGCUUCAAUUCAUACACCGGCCAGCUGGCUGUAAGCGUUCAGGAUACCGCUGGCCAAUGGACCGAAGACGACUAUCAGCGCGCCCAAUCGAGCAGCGUGAGUCCACGUGGCGGCUAUUGCAGCAGCGCUUCUACGCCACACAGUUCGGGCGGCUCUUAUGGCGCUACGGUGGCUGCUAAUGGCUAUGGCCCAACAACCAAUAUGGGUACGUUAUCCUCCUCACCAGCCAGUGUUUUCAACUCCACCAGCMUGUCGUCACCGUGGCAUCAGGCGCUAGUGCAACACCACCACACACAUCCGCACCACUAUCACCACCAUGCGCACCAGCCGUGGCACAAUCCAGCCGCCUCAAUCGCAACCGCCGCCGUGUAGAGCGUUCGGAGCAUGCAGCCCAAGAGUUACGUGCAUUUGCUCUGUGAAAACUUAACGGAGUGAGCGGCCUCAGCUUCAAUCCAUUCACGCUGCCAACGUGCAACACCCAAGGCUAUGGCACCAGCCAACUGGUGACAUCGACCA